This 284-nucleotide ribosomal RNA is filed under the name uncultured bacterium. Its description in RNAcentral is "partial 16S ribosomal RNA". It matches the Rfam family "Bacterial small subunit ribosomal RNA", at positions 335 to 610 of the family's 1533-position model. The record is from RNAcentral.
AGGCCUACGGGAGGCAGCAGUAGGGAAUCUUCGGCAAUGGGGGCAACCCUGACCGAGCAACGCCGCGUGAGUGAAGAAGGUUUUCGGAUCGUAAAGCUCUGUUGUAAGAGAAGAACGUGUGUGAGAGUGGAAAGUUCACACAGUGACGGUAACUUACCAGAAAGGGACGGCUAACUACGUGCCAGCAGCCGCGGUAAUACGUAGGUCUCGAGCGUUAUCCGGAUUUAUUGGGCGUAAAGCGAGCGCAGGCGGGUGGAUAUGUCUGAAGUUAAAGGCCGUGGGUU